GGGGAAUAUUGGACAAUGGGCGAAAGCCUGAUCCAGCAAUGCCGCGUGAGUGAUGAAGGCCUUAGGGUUGUAAAGCUCUUUUACCCGGGAUGAUAAUGACAGUACCGGGAGAAUAAGCCCCGGCUAACUCCGUGCCAGCAGCCGCGGUAAUACGGAGGGUGCGAGCGUUGUCCGGAAUCAUUGGGCGUAAAGCGCACGUAGGCGGUCCGUUAAGUCUCAUAGGUGAAAGGCUGGGGCUCAACCCCAUGCAUGCCGGGGAUACUGGCGGACUGGAGACAGGUAGAGGCGAGCGGAAUUCCGGGUGUAGCGGUGGAAUGCGUAGAGAUCCGGAAGAACACCGGAGGCGAAGGCGGCUCGCUGGACCUGAUCUGACGCUGAGGUGCGAAAGCGUGGGGAGCGAA
RNAcentral lists this ribosomal RNA (401 nucleotides) under uncultured bacterium. Its description in RNAcentral is "bacterial SSU rRNA". It matches the Rfam family "Bacterial small subunit ribosomal RNA", at positions 356 to 772 of the family's 1533-position model. The record is from RNAcentral.